RNAcentral lists this ribosomal RNA (234 nucleotides) under uncultured Actinomycetales bacterium. RNAcentral's name for it is "partial 16S ribosomal RNA". It matches the Rfam family "Bacterial small subunit ribosomal RNA", at positions 99 to 334 of the family's 1533-position model. Lineage: Bacteria; Bacillati; Actinomycetota; Actinomycetes; Actinomycetales. The record is from RNAcentral.
CGAACGGGUGAGUAACACGUGAGUAACCUGCCCACAACUUUGGGAUAACGCUAGGAAACUGGUGCUAAUACUGGAUAUGUGCUCCUGCUGCAUGGUGGGGGUUGGAAAGCUCCGGCGGCUGUGGAUGGACUCGCGGCCUAUCAGCUUGUUGGUGGGGUAGUGGCCUACCAAGGCGGCGACGGGUAGCCGGCCUGAGAGGGUGACCGGCCACAUUGGGACUGAGAUACGGCCCAG